RNAcentral lists this ribosomal RNA (468 nucleotides) under uncultured bacterium. Its description in RNAcentral is "partial 16S ribosomal RNA". It matches the Rfam family "Bacterial small subunit ribosomal RNA", at positions 28 to 507 of the family's 1533-position model. The record is from RNAcentral.
GACGAACGCUGGCGGCGUGCUUAACACAUGCAAGUCGAACGGAAAGGCCCUGCUUUUGUGGGGUGCUCGAGUGGCGAACGGGUGAGUAACACGUGAGUAACCUGCCCUUGACUUUGGGAUAACUUCAGGAAACUGGGGCUAAUACCGGAUAGGAGCUCCUGCUGCAUGGUGGGGGUUGGAAAGUUUCGGCGGUUGGGGAUGGACUCGCGGCUUAUCAGCUUGUUGGUGGGGUAGUGGCUUACCAAGGCUUUGACGGGUAGCCGGCCUGAGAGGGCGACCAGCCACAUUGGGACUGAGAUACGGCCCAGACUCCUACGGGAGGCAGCAGUGGGGAAUAUUGCACAAUGGGCGGAAGCCUGAUGCAGCAACGCCGCGUGCGGGAUGACGGCCUUCGGGUUGUAAACCGCUUUCGCCUGUGACGAAGCGUGAGUGACGGUAAUGGGUAAAGAAGCACCGGCUAACUACGUG